RNAcentral lists this ribosomal RNA (560 nucleotides) under Streptomyces caelestis. Its description in RNAcentral is "bacterial SSU rRNA". It matches the Rfam family "Bacterial small subunit ribosomal RNA", at positions 92 to 665 of the family's 1533-position model. Lineage: Bacteria; Bacillati; Actinomycetota; Actinomycetes; Kitasatosporales; Streptomycetaceae. The record is from RNAcentral.
UUAGUGGCGAACGGGUGAGUAACACGUGGGCAAUCUGCCCUGCACUCUGGGACAAGCCCUGGAAACGGGGUCUAAUACCGGAUACUGAUCAUCUUGGGCAUCCAAGGUGUUCGAAAGCUCCGGCGGUGCAGGAUGAGCCCGCGGCCUAUCAGCUUGUUGGUGAGGUAAUGGCUCACCAAGGCGACGACGGGUAGCCGGCCUGAGAGGGCGACCGGCCACACUGGGACUGAGACACGGCCCAGACUCCUACGGGAGGCAGCAGUGGGGAAUAUUGCACAAUGGGCGAAAGCCUGAUGCAGCGACGCCGCGUGAGGGAUGACGGCCUUCGGGUUGUAAACCUCUUUCAGCAGGGAAGAAGCGAAAGUGACGGUACCUGCAGAAGAAGCGCCGGCUAACUACGUGCCAGCAGCCGCGGUAAUACGUAGGGCGCGAGCGUUGUCCGGAAUUAUUGGGCGUAAAGAGCUCGUAGGCGGCUUGUCACGUCGGUUGUGAAAGCCCGGGGCUUAACCCCGGGUCUGCAGUCGAUACGGGCAGGCUAGAGUUCGGUAGGGGAGAUCGGA